Molecule: ribosomal RNA, 501 nt
Filed under: uncultured bacterium
Lineage: Bacteria
Description: partial 16S ribosomal RNA
Rfam family: Bacterial small subunit ribosomal RNA
Source: RNAcentral
ACUCAAAGGAAUAGACGGGGGCCCGCACAAGCGGUGGAACAUGUGGUUUAAUUCGACGCAACGCGAAGAACCUUACCUGGGCUUGAACUACUGGUAGUAAGUCCCGAGAAACCGGGGCUGAUCCGCAAGGAAGCCAGCAGAGGUGCUGCAUGGUUGUCGUCAGCUCGUGUCGUGAGAUGUUGGGUUAAGUCCCGCAACGAGCGCAACCCCUAUCCAAUGUUGCUAAUCCCGUAAGGGAUGCACUCUUUGGAAACUGCCUUCGAUAAGAAGGAGGAAGGUGGGGACGACGUCAAAUCCUCAUGGCCCUUAUGUCCAGGGCUACACACGUGUUACAAUGGCCGGUACAAUGGGAAGCAAUACAGCAAUGUGGAGCCAAACCCCAAAGCCGGCCCCAGUUCAGAUUGUGGGCUGCAAUUCGCCCACAUGAAGGCGGAAUCGCUAGUAAUCGCUGAUCAGCAGGCAGCGGUGAAUACGUUCCCGGGCCUUGUACACACCGCCCGU